This 1629-nucleotide long non-coding RNA is filed under the name Nicotiana benthamiana. RNAcentral describes it as "long non-coding RNA (NBEN_LNC038345)". Lineage: Eukaryota; Viridiplantae; Streptophyta; Magnoliopsida; Solanales; Solanaceae. The record is from RNAcentral.
UCAGAUCUAACGGUUCAAAACACUUGCCCUAUUUUUGUUAUAUUUAUUUGAAACCCCUUCAAACAACCUCGUCCAAAAUAAUGUACUUCAUCUUCUCAUCUCCUAACCCUAGAGCACCGCCUAAAUUUCUACCAUCUCUGGCCGGCGGCUGCACCUCCAAACAACCCCAAAUUAAUACCACGACCUCCUCUUUCCCAAUCCUUAACUGGCUUCCCUCAAAUCACCCUAGGAUUCUUCGAAUCUUGAAUCAAGUUCCGAACCCUAAAAUUCUAAAUCUCCCAAAUCGGCAAAGGUUGGAGUGGAGUUUGAUUUUAUUCGUGUGUUCUUAACGAGAACACACGAUUAAUGUCAAUAUCGGCUAAAAUCGGAGGUGUUGAAGGAUUUUUUCAGUUUCCUAUUGUCCAGAGUGUUCCUUUAAAUAUUUUUUCUUUUUCUUCUAUUCUUCAUUUUUUAUCUGUGGUUUUCCGUCUCCAUCUCCUUUUGUUUCAUCCUUCCUUUUUCCUUAUCAUUUUUCGCUUUUUGUUUGUUUUGUGCGAACCACUUGCUGCUGGCAUGUCUGAAAUUUAGAAAGAAAAGAAAACUUGUUAGUUCAUUUGUUUUUAAUUUUCUUUUUUGCGUUUAAGUUUCAAUUAAUCCCUAUCUUUUGUCAUUUCUUUUUUUUCCUUAAAAAAAGAAAUAUUUUGGGUAAUGGGCAAUUUUGUUUCGUCCAGCAAUUCUAUAGGGGCUCUGUUAAUCAGAGGCCCAAGGAAAAGGGACUCAAUCCGGGUAGUAAGUCCAUUGGUUUUGAGGCUGAACCUGUGGUUCAAUUUGACCCAUAUCUGUUUUGUAUGUUGGGGUAAAUAACAUGGGUUUUUAAGGUUAAUUCAGGGAUUUAGGAUAGGGAAUCUUUAAUAACUGAAUGGGGAAGCUUCCUGGAAGGUGGGUUUGGGACUAACUUGAAAAGUUGAUUUUAAACUAAGGUUAUAGGAGCAAAAACAAAAAUUACAAAAGGAUUAAAAGGCAGAACUGAAUUCAUUUUCUACUGCCCUAAGGCUUGCCUAUAAAGGCAGUGUUUCUUCUCACACAAGUCAGAUUUUAGAGAAAUUGAAGACUAAUAAACACUGAAAAAGCUUUAAAAACGACUGAGGUAAAAUGAGCUCCAAAACUGUUACAUUUUUGGUAGAAAUUGAUCUAGUUCUGCAAUUAGUCGUUCAAUUAUGAAACCUUCAAAUGAUUUCUAGCUUGUUUUGGGAUUCAAAGAUGGUUUAAAGGCUGUUUUGCACUGUUCUAUUGCUGCUGAAAUACUGUUGUUGUUGACUGAACCUUCUCAUUUUUGCUGAUCUUUAAGUACGUCUUCUUCUUCUGUUUAAUAUUGCUGUAUCCUUUGAUAUAUGAAACGGGAGGACAUGAAGUUUGUUUGAUUGAACUGAAACUUUGUGACACAUCAGUUGGUUAAAUGCUAUUUUGCACUCCUGAAACUAGUUGGUUUAUGCAGUUUAGUUUAGUUUUUAAUCUGUGUACAUUUGAUUAAUUUUGUUGCUGAGUUUUGAAAGCUUUAGGUAAAUGCUCUAGUUUGGCUGAUUGGUUUGUAUAUGGAUUGGUAUGCUGUUUAAAUGUGGAAACUGAGAAAAUGAAUUUUUUGUUGUUAUA